AGGUGAAAAGCACGCCCGUUAGGCGAGUGAAAUAGACCCUGAAACUGUGUGCUUACAAGCGGUGGGAGCUCGGGUGCUGGCUAAGCCAGCAGUGAGUGACCGCGUGCCUUUUGCAUAAUGAGCCAAC
RNAcentral lists this ribosomal RNA (127 nucleotides) under Candidatus Entotheonella serta. Its description in RNAcentral is "partial 23S ribosomal RNA". It matches the Rfam family "Bacterial large subunit ribosomal RNA", at positions 512 to 624 of the family's 2925-position model. The record is from RNAcentral. Lineage: Bacteria; Pseudomonadati; Candidatus Tectimicrobiota; Candidatus Entotheonellia; Candidatus Entotheonellales; Candidatus Entotheonellaceae.